GGCCCAGGAGAAGCUCAGCUCCAGUAACACGGCGGAGUGGGAGCUCGCCGACCAUUCUCUCAUUCAUGUGGACAAACUAACCACACAGAGAACAGUUGUUUGACUUGGCCUUAAGCAAAGUCCCGUGACAUCUUCUAGGCUGGUCUUGAGCGAAGGCCAUAGCAAAGCUGGACAGCGGUGAGGGUGAGGAGGGGCCGUGAAGUAGCUAUGGAUGACCGACCAGCGAGGAACUCUGAGCACUGCACCUUGUGACGUCCACUCGUCCACGUGCCAGGACAGCAACAAUGACAAUAACAACGACAACAAAAACCUGAAAGUAGAAGGAAGACGAGCUGAGGAGAAUCAGUGGGCAUGACACAGGAACAAGAAGAAGUAUCUGGCAGAAAGAAAAGACUUGUGGUCACCAGAAACAAAAAGCAAAACACCCUGGAGAUAUUUUAUAUACGACAUCCGUCAUUUGGUGAAAGAUUGUAAACUGUGUAAGAAAGUUGGAGAAUGAAACCCACAAUCAAGAGGAGAAACAGUCAAUAGAAGCAGAUCCGCAGGUCCAUGGAAACUAAAAGGGUGGAAAAAAGGGUAAUGUCAAUCCAAGUCAAAGGGAAGCUGGAGUGCUGCAUUGUUAAAGCAGCUCAGAGUAAGAUGAGCAGAACUGAAAAGGUGUUGCAAACGGGCAAAGCAACAUUUCAUCAAGAAGACAUCAAUCCUGACUGUGCAUUUACUUCAUAGCAGAGUUGUAAAACACAAGAGGCAAAACUGAAAAUACCAAAGGGAAAAUGACAAAAUCUGUAUUCACAAACUAACAGAAUUCAUAGAAAAUAUUCACAAGAUUAAGAACAUAGAACAUCUAAGCCCUAUCAAUAAGACGACCUCAUUUAUAUUUGUGGAACAUUAUGGGUCCCACUCAUAAACUUAUCUAUGCAUAACCAUAUCCCACAAACUCCAUCUAUUCUCCCCCAAAAUUCUGUAUCAUAAAACAAGUCUCAAUAAAUUAUAAAGAAGGGAAACCA
Long non-coding RNA from Mesocricetus auratus (golden hamster), 1007 nucleotides. RefSeq lists it as uncharacterized. The transcript has 3 exons. The record is from RefSeq and is a predicted model, not a curated record. NCBI's taxonomy places the organism in Eukaryota, Metazoa, Chordata, Mammalia, Rodentia, Cricetidae.